UGUAAUUCAGCCAAGGAUGACUUGCCGGAAACACUGCGCAUCUUUGCCGGCAAGUUGUAGCUUGGCUAUGUUGUACUC
This 78-nucleotide microRNA precursor is filed under the name Manihot esculenta (cassava). RNAcentral describes it as "precursor microRNA miR169ad". Lineage: Eukaryota; Viridiplantae; Streptophyta; Magnoliopsida; Malpighiales; Euphorbiaceae. The record is from RNAcentral.